RNAcentral lists this ribosomal RNA (393 nucleotides) under uncultured bacterium. Its description in RNAcentral is "bacterial SSU rRNA". It matches the Rfam family "Bacterial small subunit ribosomal RNA", at positions 30 to 418 of the family's 1533-position model. The record is from RNAcentral.
AUUGAACGCUGGCGGCAUGCCUUACACAUGCAAGUCGAACGGCAGCACGGGAGCAAUCCUGGUGGCGAGUGGCGAACGGGUGAGUAAUGUAUCGGAACGUACCUUUCAGUGGGGGAGUAACGUAGCGAAAGUUACGCUAAUACCGCAUAUUCUGUGAGCAGGAAAGCAGGGGAUCGCAAGACCUUGCGCUGAUUGAGCGGCCGAUAUCAGAUUAGCUAGUUGGUGAGGUAAAGGCUCACCAAGGCGACGAUCUGUAGCGGGUCGUGAGAGGAUGAUCCGCCACACUGGAACUGAGACACGGUCCAGACUCCUACGGGAGGCAGCAGUGGGGAAGUUUUGGUACAAUGGGCGGCAAGCCUGAUCCAGCCAUGCCGCGUGAGUGAAGAAGGCCUC